AGUGAACGCUGGCGGUAGGCCUAACACAUGCGAGUCGAACGGCAGCACAGUAAGAGCUUGCUCUUACGGGUGGCGAGUGGCGGACGGGUGAGGAAUACAUCGGAAUCUACUUUUUCGUGGGGGAUAACGUAGGGAAACUUACGCUAAUACCGCAUACGACCUACGGGUGAAAGCAGGGGAUCUUCGGACCUUGCGCGAUUGAAUGAGCCGAUGUCGGAUUAGCUAGUUGGCGGGGUAAAGGCCCACCAAGGCGACGAUCCGUAGCUGGUCUGAGAGGAUGUUCAGCCACACUGGAACUGAGACACGGUCCAGACUCCUACGGGAGGCAGCAGUGGGGAAUAUUGGACAAUGGGCGCAAGCCUGAACCAGCCAUACCGCGUGGGUGAAGAAGGCCUUCGGGUUGUAAAGCCCUUUUGUUGGGAAAGAAAAGCAGCAGGUUAAUACCCCGCUGUUCUGACGGUACCCAAAGAAUAAGCACCGGCUAACUUCGUG
RNAcentral lists this ribosomal RNA (492 nucleotides) under uncultured bacterium. RNAcentral's name for it is "partial 16S ribosomal RNA". It matches the Rfam family "Bacterial small subunit ribosomal RNA", at positions 29 to 507 of the family's 1533-position model. The record is from RNAcentral.